AAUAAAAUAAAAUAAAAUAAAAUAAAAUAAAAUAAAAUAAAAUAAAAUAAAAUAAAAUAAAAUAAAAUAAAAUAAAAUAAAAUAAAAUAAAAUAAAAUAAAAUAAAAUAAAUAAAAAAGAGUACCCAGACUGCCCCAGCAGACAUGGUGUGCUGGGUUCACACUGGUGGGUGCAAGAAAGUGAUGAUAUGGGUGCAGGAACAGAUUAUUCUUGAUUAUUCCAGAUUCUGUCAGGAGUCUAUUGGGAAAUAAAUUCAGUGAAGUCCCAGAACAGAUUUUCUCAACACUGAUAUCACAGCAGGAGGAAAUCCGGGAGGUCACUGAAUUAGGCUUAAUGUUCUCUCCCAGCCUGUGACAGAGAAGCCUUUCCUAUCUGUGGAGGUGGGAAUCAUCUGUUAGGGUGCUGCCCUCCUUAUUGUACGAAAUGUCUCAAAUGGUGCCCCGAGGGCAUAUAUAUAUACCCAGUGCAGGGUAACCAUGCAGUCGGUCCGUAUGAAAUGGUUUUGCAAGGAACGGAGUGAAGGGAAUUGUUUAACAGGGCAGGACUUCUAUGCUCAUCACAGCCACCUGAGGCAUUGUAUUUUUUUUUUUUAUUUUAUUUUUUCACAAGCAAAGGGCAUUCAGAUGCUCUCAAUCCUCACAUUUCUGAAUCACAUGUAACACAACUCGGAUGAACAAUGCCAGUCCCCAGGAGCCAACGUGUUGUGCCCCUCCCUGGCCACAAACCUCCUCUGACCUGCUAACACCAGAUCUCUGGCUCCUUGGGAGAGAUGCAGGACAGAAGAGACCUGUUGAUGGAGAUUUUCCACGUGUGAACAGGCCUGACAGCAGCCAGAGGUGAUGGAGAUGCUCCGAACAGACACACAGGAGCAGGGAGAGUUUGGCUGCACUCUCAAGGCUGAGGCAUCACAAAAACACUCCUGCACUGCGCCUGAAGCACGCCAAGCCCCAGGUUUGGCAGGAGGCGAGGGGGUCACUGUGCAGAUUUCUCAACUUGAACAGGAGAAAGCCUGGCCUCAAACCCUCACCGUGCAGGCAGGGAAAUGGGCUCUGGCUGCAAGAAAUCCUGGAGCACGGGAAACGUGUCCUUUUGGCUAUCAGGAUGGGCAGCCCUGUCACUGCCCAGGGUGUAAAACAGCUUUUGGGCAUUGCUCCCUGGUCCUGCUGGCUGGAUCCAUGGGGAAAA
This 1185-nucleotide long non-coding RNA is filed under the name Anas platyrhynchos platyrhynchos (common mallard). RNAcentral describes it as "lncRNA (ENSAPLG00000022693.1)". The record is from RNAcentral. Lineage: Eukaryota; Metazoa; Chordata; Aves; Anseriformes; Anatidae.